This 217-nucleotide unclassified non-coding RNA is filed under the name uncultured Basidiomycota. RNAcentral's name for it is "sequence contains ITS2". Lineage: Eukaryota; Fungi; Basidiomycota. The record is from RNAcentral.
AACUCUCAACCUCCUUUCCCUUGUGAUCGGCUGGUUGGAUCAUGGGUGCUUGCCGGCCAGGCCGGCUCGCCUGAAAUGCAUUUGCGAUGUUGUGUCCUUGUGCUUGUGAGUUGGUCCGACUAGGCGUGAUGGUAACAACCGUUCGUCUAGCAUCCCCCUUCGGCGAGGAGCUGCUCCUGUUGGGCGUUUACCUUCCCAUGAACACUCAUAUCUUUGG